Molecule: RNA transcript, 1100 nt
Organism: Spinacia oleracea (spinach)
Lineage: Eukaryota; Viridiplantae; Streptophyta; Magnoliopsida; Caryophyllales; Amaranthaceae
Gene name: DNA repair protein rad50
Exons: 5
Source: RefSeq, a predicted model, not a curated record
UUAUAACAAGAGCCAAUUUGGAAGAAUAGUAGAGUUAUAUUUGAUAUCUUCUUUUUAAGGAACGUAUCCGGAUACCUGAUGCAAAGAUGACCUAUUAUGAGAACCUAGCUGAACCCGAAUGAAUUUUACCUCUCGUCUAGGAAUGGAUAUUUUUAUUUCAAUAUGAUGCUCUAUUUUGUUCUGAAUAUCUACUAGGGUAUCCUUGGCGAAUUAUGUAUUUGGUAGUUUUUUCGAUUCGCCUGUUUCCUCAUUCCAUUUCUCUCUCCUUGAUGUUGCUGCUGUUUGUGCGCUCUGAUCUUGGAGAUGGGGAGACCUCCUUGCUGCGAUGAGGCCAAUGUCAAGAAAGGCCUCUGGACACCAGAAGAAGAUUCUAAGAUACUUGCAUAUGUAGCUAACCAUGGAGUCGGUAAUUGGACUCAGGUUCCUAAGAAAGCAGUUGAAUAGGUUUGGUUGAACAAAGUCAGUGUAUGAGAGCAACAUAUCAAAAAAUGAAAAGGAUGUCAAAUAACCACAAUACAAGGAUAUAGACAAACGCUACUUUGACCAACUAAUCCAGCUCAAGACUACAGAAAUGGCAAACCAAGACCUUGACAGAUACUACAGUGCUCUAGACAAGUAAGCCUUCCCUCAUAAACUAAAGGCACUUAUGCGUUUUCACACUAUGAAAAUGGAAGAAAUAAAUAGAAUUAUUCGUGAACUCUGGCAGCAGACAUACAGAGCUCAGGACAUUGAUUACAUAUACAUACAUUCCGAUUCUGAAGGUGCUGGAACUAGAUCUUACAGUUAUAAGAAAAUUUCGCAUCCAAAGAAGUCGAAUUUUAAGCCUAAGUCCAACUUGGAGGUGGUGGGUAGUUGUGAUCGUAAAACACAAGAAUCAACCACCAAAAGCAAGAAAGCAGGACUUGCAUACGAUGCAAUUCAAUGUCUUGGUCCGUCAUGCAAUUCAAGGGAGCUUGAUCGAGUUGGUUUAGAUGUUAUAGAACAAUCUUUUAUGGAAAAAAGUAUGCGUACGUUGAAAUUGGAACCUACAUAUAUUUAAAUGUAUAUUGUACGUGCACUUUGGUUUUGGGAUAUAUACAAAAUACCAGUUAUUGUUUUUA